UACGUAGGGUGCGAGCGUUGUCCGGAAUUAUUGGGCGUAAAGGGCUCGUAGGCGGUCUGUUGCGUCGGGAGUGAAAACUCAGGGCUUAACCCUGAGCCUGCUUCCGAUACGGGCAGACUAGAGGUAUGCAGGGGAGAACGGAAUUCCUGGUGUAGCGGUGAAAUGCGCAGAUAUCAGGAGGAACACCGGUGGCGAAGGCGGGUCUCUGGGCCGUAACUGACGCUGAGGAGCGAAAGCGUGGGAGCGAACAGG
This 252-nucleotide ribosomal RNA is filed under the name uncultured bacterium. Its description in RNAcentral is "partial 16S ribosomal RNA". It matches the Rfam family "Bacterial small subunit ribosomal RNA", at positions 524 to 776 of the family's 1533-position model. The record is from RNAcentral.